RNAcentral lists this ribosomal RNA (506 nucleotides) under uncultured bacterium. RNAcentral describes it as "bacterial SSU rRNA". It matches the Rfam family "Bacterial small subunit ribosomal RNA", at positions 29 to 518 of the family's 1533-position model. The record is from RNAcentral.
ACGAACGCUGGCGGCGUGCUUAACACAUGCAAGUCGAACGGAGAUUCAGCAAUGGAUCUUAGUGGCGAACGGGUGAGUAACGCGUAGGCAAUCUGCCUCUAGAUGGGGACAACAUCCCGAAAGGGGUGCUAAUACCGAAUGUUGUAUGAUUUUCGCAUGGAGAUGAUACUAAAGGUGGCCUCUGAAUAUGCUACCGCUAGAAGAUGAGCCUGCGUCUGAUUAGCUAGUUGGAGGGGUAACGGCCCACCAAGGCUUCGAUCAGUAGCCGGUCUGAGAGGAUGAACGGCCACACUGGGACUGAGACACGGCCCAGACUCCUACGGGAGGCAGCAGUGGGGAAUCUUCCGCAAUGGACGAAAGUCUGACGGAGCAACGCCGCGUGAGUGAAAGAAGGUUUUCGGAUCGUAAAGCUCUUUCGUCAGGGACGAACGUAUUUCUUGUAAAUAAUGAGAGAUAGUGACGGUACCUGAAUAAGAAGCCACGGCUAACUACGUGCCAGCAGCAGC